Dendrobium catenatum is the source of this 1805-nucleotide RNA transcript. RefSeq lists it as uncharacterized. The transcript is spliced from 5 exons. NCBI's taxonomy places the organism in Eukaryota, Viridiplantae, Streptophyta, Magnoliopsida, Asparagales, Orchidaceae. The record is from RefSeq and is a predicted model, not a curated record.
UCUACUUGUUUGGAAUACUUGUUUCCUUUCCUUCGCAGCUCUUUGUUUUCUAAAUAACAUGCUCAUACACCAGCACAUAUUUUUCAGUAUUUUAUUUAUUCUGCUUUCUAUUAAUCUGUGAGCUUGAUCAGGAGUGGCAUGGGAGUUUUUCAUGCAUUAUUGUUGUUUGUAAUUGUUCUGAUUGUUUCAUCAGGAAGAAUGAAAAUUAAACGUUGCUUUCAAAAAAAAUUGUAGGUAAAGAUUAAUUUGUCCAUUGAAGAAUCACAUGUAAAAGAUUGUGUGAUGCACACGAUGAGCAAGAGAUUUUCUGAUUUUCACUCAAAGGCUUAUGUACAUUAUAAAAAACAUGGAGGUGGAAUGUUAGCAAGACAAAAGCCUUACAAAGAACUUAUCGAGAGACCAGAUGAUUGGAUUUGGUUAUAAAAAAUCGGAAUCAAACUGUCGAAAUCGUUCGAUGUUGAAGGUCAUUCACCGAAUAGGCACAAAGUCCCUUGUAGCUCAUUUAUAUGACCAGAAAUUAAGCAGGAUUGAGUUAUACAAGGAGGAGUUUACAGACAAAGAAAAGAAAUGGGUUUCUGAAGAUUGUCAGGCAAAAUAUGACAAGAUGAUGGAAAUUCGUGAGAAAAUUAUUGACGAUGGAGGAAUAGUUGAUGAGACAAUCAUUUGCGCUGAAGUUUUAGGUGAAACAUCGUCAUAGAUUCGUGGCCUUGGUUAUGGGCCAAAGUCGAUAAAGAAAACUAAAAUUAUCAGAUCAAAUGCAUCAUCCGAGAGAGAGAUCGAGCUUGAAACCAGUUUAAAAGUUAUAAAAGAGAAAUAUGAGGAACAGAGUAAGAUCAUUAAAUCUCAACAAAAAACUAUAGAUUGGUUAAAAAUGAUAGAAGAAAAAAUGGGCAUGCAACACCCUAAUGAUGAUGGUAAGUAUUUAGAAUAUGCACAUUAAGGUUGACUUAAUAAAAUUCAAAAUUUUGUUUAACUAAUAUUAUAAAUUUAUUCUUGUAGGUCCAGGCUUCUCAAAUGAUGAAAAUGAUGACUAGAUAUCUAAUUUAUGUCUAUUUUUUGAAACUAUAAUGUUAAUAAUUUACUUUCAAUUUAGCUCUUAAACUACCUUAUUUUUUUUAUCAAUUUCCUUCUUUUAACACAUGGUUGUUUUCUCUAUUUGUAAUAUAUUCCCGUUGUAGCAAUUUGAACGUUGUUAGGAACAUAAUUUUGAAAUGGAAAUUUCUUGUUUUAAUUUAAUCUAUGAUUGAGAACUUCUCGUUCUUGCUUAAAUCCAAGUUUCCUAAAUUUAAACUUGUACUGUGAGUCUUUGACUUGUGGGAUUAAGAGAAACUAUUUAGUUUUUAAUUUUUGGGUUAUAAAUAUGACUAUUGUUAUAUGUAAAAUUCAUUAAUUAUUUUACAACAAUAUAUGUUUUCUCUUUGUUUUUGUGUGUUUGAAGAUGUGGAUUCUUUGACUACUUACAAGUUUUGAUGCCAACUUUGUAAGUAUAAUUAUUCUAUUCCUAGUAUGAGUUGUGGAUUUCUUAUUUGGUGAUCUCUAUCUUUGUUCCAUCAUCUAAACUAAUUUGUGAUUGUUUUGUUUAUGCGAUUGAGAUUUUAUCUUAUUCAUUACAAGUGGUGCGCUCAAGUAGGAGCAUAAUAGGAGGCCUUGACUUCUCCGUUGAUCUCAAGUUUGGGUGUUUCGGGGACCUUAGAGUGGCUGAUAAGUGGAAGGAGCAAAUUUUGUUUUCACUUCCGCUGGUGUUUCUCAUUGGGAGAAUGACAAAGAGGCAGCAACUCUUCGAAUUGGAUUUGUAUAUUUCAAAA